RNAcentral lists this small RNA (125 nucleotides) under Marmota monax (woodchuck). Lineage: Eukaryota; Metazoa; Chordata; Mammalia; Rodentia; Sciuridae. The record is from RNAcentral.
GCUGGGUGCGGUGGUGCAUGCCUGUAAUCCCAGCAGCUUCGGAGGCUGAGGCAGGAGGAUCGAGAGCUCAAAGCCAAACUCGGCAAAAGUGAGGCACUAAGCAACUCAGUGAGACCCUGUCUCUA